CAGUAGCCGCGGGAAUACGUAGGUGGCAAGCGUUGUCCGGAAUUAUUGGGCGUAAAGGGCUCGCAGGCGGUUUCUUAAGUCUGAUGUGAAAGCCCCCGGCUCAACCGGGGAGGGUCAUUGGAAACUGGGAAACUUGAGUGCAGAAGAGGAGAGUGGAAUUCCACGUGUAGCGGUGAAAUGCGUAGAGAUGUGGAGGAACACCAGUGGCGAAGGCGACUCUCUGGUCUGUAACUGACGCUGAGGAGCGAGAGCGUGGGGAGCGAACAGGAUUAGAUACCCCGGUAGUCCCUGUCUCUUAUAA
This 301-nucleotide ribosomal RNA is filed under the name uncultured bacterium. RNAcentral's name for it is "partial 16S ribosomal RNA". It matches the Rfam family "Bacterial small subunit ribosomal RNA", at positions 509 to 809 of the family's 1533-position model. The record is from RNAcentral.